UUAACCCAUUUGAUAUGUUCUUUCCCUUCCAAAAUCUCAUAUGUAACUUUGUAUUACAUCAAAAUCUCAUUACUCGCGUACAAUGUUGCAGCUUAUGAGAGCAGAAUUUACGUGAUAGGUUCCAGUUCACCAGUAAUAAACAAGAUGAUGAAAAUUUACCCCAUAAAAACAAAUAACAAAGUAAAGCAAACUGGCAAUGGGGGGCAUAGCUCAGUGGCAGUUGCAUAUAUGUUGGACCCUAGAGACCUAGAUUCAACUCCCCCCUCCCACUACAUAUUAGUAAAAAAAAAAAGAAGUAAAGCAAG
Molecule: unclassified non-coding RNA, 305 nt
Filed under: Hevea brasiliensis (rubber tree)
Lineage: Eukaryota; Viridiplantae; Streptophyta; Magnoliopsida; Malpighiales; Euphorbiaceae
Source: RNAcentral